UUUUUUUUUUUUUUUUCCUAAUGUUAACGAUGAUAAUUGAUGGAAUCGAUGAGAUGAGGAUCUAAUUAAUUAAUUAAGCAGCUUAAAGCAAUUACUGAUCAUCACUAAUACGUCCACCAAAUUACCUGGCAAGAUUUGAGAGCACCUUGCAUGCAGCCAUAAGCUCAAAACAGUAGUGAUAUUUUGGUGGACAUAAUAGUGACAGUGUAUGGUUGAUUAAAUUAACCUUCAGAAUUCAAGAAGUGUUUCCAUUAAACAUCCACUUACUUGAGUUUUACUCAAGAAGUGCUCAAACAGAUCAUAAGAGAGUCUAAAUUCUUGAAUCUUAUCAAAUUAUAUAAUUAUUUAAUUAAAUAUUUAAUUUUAAAAAAACUAUUAAAUAAAAAAAAAUUUUUUAUGACUUUAUCCGAAUAGGAAAAGAUCUUAAUGGAGAGUAAAUAUUAUAUUAUAAAAAUAUCACUAAUAAAUAUACUUAUUUUCUAAACUGUAAAAUUUAAUCUUUUUAUUCGUUUUGAUUUAUAAAUACAUAAAUGUCAAAUAAACAUAUUUAAAAUAUGUUUCAUUUAUAAAAUCAAACAAAAUGCCAUUUACAUUUCGACAUGACAAUAUUAAAAAAAAAAGACAAAUAUGUCAUUCAAAUUUUUAUAUUGAGACCCAUUCAAACUUCAGACAAGAGAAUAAAUAAGUCUUCACUAUCAUCAUUUUGAUUUUAAUUCGUGACACAACCAAAUUAUAUAUGAAAUCAAACUAAUGAUAGUAAUACUAUCGACAAAUAAGAAAGAUUGAAGAAUCAAAUUCGUUUACGUAACAUGAGCAACUGAUUUACGGUAGAGACUUGUCAGAGUGUUAUUAAGAUUGCAUGGGCCAGCUGUUUGGGCCAGCCCACAAGAUCUCAUGGUUCCAUUUAUCGUUUGCAUGUUUUAUUAUUUUAUAGACUCCAUUCAAGUUUUGAAAAUUUUAAUCAAUAAAUUUGAUAUUAAAUUUGUUUAUUUAUUUUAAUUGAAGCAUCACACACCCUGACCCGGUUGUUAAGAUAAGAGUGGGUGGGUUAGAUUAAUUGGAGAGAAAACGACAAGUGGGAGAUUGAUGGAGUGGGUGUUUCUUAUUUCUUCUAAUUCUCACCUAAUAGUCCCUAGGAUUAUGAUUUUAUUCUAAUUUAAGAAAAAAUAAUUAAUCAGUCAUAAAAGAAAAAAGAUUGCAGAAAUUUGAUGGGUGCUUUAUUUUUUAAAUUCACAGUACUUUCAAAAACAUAGUUUAUCAAAUACGUUUUGUACAAUUGAUUAUUUUUAUUUCGAAAACAAAUUAUUUUAUAAGUUAAAGGUAUGAGUUCGAACUUGUUGAAUGAGUAUGAGAAAAUUAGGUUAUUAUUAUUAUGGUGCUGAUAAUUACAAAAAAACACAUAUUUUAUAAGUUGCAACAAUUCUUUUAAACUGGCACUUACCAGAUUUUACUGAAAUAGGAUUAAUUGGUAAUAUUAUAACUUUUAAAAUAGUUACCGUCAGCUGUGUUGCAAUAUAAUCAAUCGUGAAGAGUAUUGAUUAAGUGUUUAGUAAAUAUAAUUGUUAAAGUAUUGUUAGAAUACAAAUGACUAAAAUAGAUAUAGUAUCAAGGAAAAUAUACUUCAACACAUAUGCAAACAUGUAUGUUUAAUACUUUUUUUCUCGAAUUAAUUCUUCUUCAUCGUUGUCGUCGUUGUCAUAAUAAUAAUAAUAAUAAAAAAACCUUCUUUCAUCAAAUAACAUUAAAUUUUGUGUAAUCAAAGUUCAAAGAUAUGGUCCUUUGAAAAUGAUAAGAAAGUAUAUUGAUAAAACUCAUCUUAAAUUUUAUCGAAAAUUUGUAAAUAAAAGAUAAGGUAUCAAAACACAUACUAACCUAAGCGGCAAUCUUGCAGUGAUGAUAUUUGAAGUAUUAGAGAAGUUUUGAUGAAAUGGAAAAUAGGAAGAAGAAGAAUUGGGGUAAAGAGCACGGGUAAAGAUAAAAUAAAUCAAAUUAAUGAUAAUGAUCUUAAUUUUUAUUAUUCUAUUUUUUAAAUAAUCAAAGAUAAUUUUGGAUUUAUAUGAAAUAUGUAAGGAUGUAUGUGAAAUUAUAUCAAAUAAAAAUACGUCUCAAAUUUAAGAAGCUACUAUUUUCCUCCUUUUCAAAACUAAUCUAAAAAUGAGGUAAUUUUGUUGAAAUAAUUUAAAAAAUAUAAUAAAUAUUAAAAUUAAUUUUUAUUUUUUUUAAAAAAUAACUAUUGACUCUCCCAACAACAAUCCUAAAUGGACUCCUUACCUAAGGGCUCCGUUUAAUAAAAUUUGAUUCCAUAACCAUUUUAUUGUGAUGGGGUUGGUUGGUAUCAAACUUUUGCUUUAUACUUUUUGUGUUAAAAGUAUUUUAUGUGUCAACAUCACUAUUUUAUUUAUCCGUGAAAUAAAUAGUGGAUAAAUUCAAUAUUUUUUUAUGUAAAACUUUAUAACUCAUAAAAUCAUAUAUUUAUCCCUUCCUAAGAUAUAUAAAAAAAUCCUUUUGCACAAUACUUUAGAAAGUGUAGCAUUACUCGAACUAAAUUUAAGUGUAGUAGCACCAAAACGAAUUUAAUUGGUUGCUUAUAAUAAAUAUAUGUAGUUAAAACAGUCACAGUUUUAACAAAUGUUUUAUCUAAUCAUAAAACUUUCUAUUGUUGUAUUUUUUUAAAUUUUGUUUUCAAAAAAUUAAAUUAAGAAAUAGGCUGCGGAAAAUUUGUGAUGUUUUAAAAUGGUUAAAAGGUAAUUUUACCCAAAAGAAGGAAAAAGGUAAAAGAAAGAGCUCCAAGCAUAAUUGUUUGUAACAAGAAAGAAUCCCAAAUUACUGGUACUGAGAGUAGAAGCAGAGUCCAAAAAAAGAACAGCGACGAUGGAGUUCCCCUUCGGCCACCACCACCGUCGCGAUCCUGAAGAAGAUGAACGACGAGAACGCCCGCCACCUUACUUCGGCCAGCCUCCGCCGCCGCCGCAGCCGUAUUAUCAAGAAAACGAGUAUGCUGCACCCCCCCCACCGCGCCCUGUGCCGCCACCAUACUAUCAAGAACCUGAAUUUUCAUUGCCACCACCUCCGCCCCGGCCGUAUCAUCAAGAAUCACAUGUGAGUCACGUGCAUCACUCCACUGAUCGGCCCGAAGGAUUCGGCUCUUUCAACUAUCAGCAACCACCACCACCAGAGCCAACACACGUGCGCCACGUGUAUCACGCUAGUCAUGAUAAACCAGAAGGACUCGGUUCUUUCAACUACCAGCAAUCGCCGCCGCCGCCACCAGCAGCAGCGUCGGGAGCGGUACAUGUGAGCCAUGUUUCUCAUGAGAAAACUGAGACUGGCCAUCACCAUUCUUUUCUGCAUCAUCACUCUCACUCUGGCUCUGGCCCUGCCCCUUUCCCUGCUCUCUCUGGGAAGCCUACUGUUAGAUUCUUUUGUAAGGCCGAGCCUAAUUUCUCGCUCACCAUUAGAAAUGGGAAGGUGGUUCUUGCUCCAUCUGAUCCCUCCGAUCAGUUUCAGGUGAGUAUUUAUUUUCUAUUUUGUUUACCCGUUUACAGUUGUUGUUGCGCUGCUCUAAGUAUUUAACUUGAUCUGGGUUCUGUUGUUUCCUUUUUGAAAAAGUUAAAGAUUAUUUUUUCCCCCAAGAAAUAUUGAAUAUUGUAGAUGAUUUUAUUAUAUUAUUGCCCACUUGUGUUUUAAUAAUAAUUUCACUUAAAUCUGCCAUUAGUGCUACGGACUUUUUUUUCCCCCUCUGUUUUCAGGGUUUCUUGCCUCUUAGUCUUAUGUGUUUAUUGCUUUGGUUUUUGUUGUUGUUGCAGCACUGGUACAAGGAUGAGAGGCUCAGCACUCGAGUGAAGGAUGAGGAGGGCUUUCCCUGCUUUGCUCUCGUUAACAAAGUUACUGGUCAGGCUGUGAAGCACUCCAUUGGAGCCACUCAUCCUGUAAGGAUUCUAUGAAAUUUUUUGAGUGAUUGGAAGUUUAUUUGAUGUAAAAUUUCAAGCAUUAUGUCUUUCUUUGUUGUUAAUUUCACAUACUGAUAUAAAUCAACAUGUAUUGACUCAAAUGUCGCUGCUGCUGCUAAUUUGGUUUUGUUUGAAAAUUAGCAUGUUCUUCUGAAUCUGUAUUUUAAUAUUAGGAUGCAGCAAUUUGUUGCAUCCAGGCAUAUUGUUUAUGACCUAUGGGCAAUAUCUACUGGCAAAGAAUCCAAACAACUUACAUGACCGAAAUGUAAGAUGUUAGUUCUGGUAUGCCGGUGAAGAGAAGGCUGAAUAAGGGUAACAUUUAGACUAUAAUGGAAGGCUAUCUCUGUGGAAUUCACGCCCACUCAAUGACUUGCUAACGAGUUAAAUUAAACUUUGCAUUUUCGAGCUCAUUUGAGGAACAAGGAUAUUUCCAAUUCAAUACUACAUGUAACUGGAAUAGAUAUGCAUCUUAAUGGCAAAUUUUGCAUGUUGGUUUCACGUUUUAGACAUGGUUACCUUCUUGUCAAUCAGGAUUUUUCCCUUCAUUUAUUUGAUAUUCGAUUUAGUUUCUUUUAAUUAUAUAUAAUGUUAAUAUGCCAACAUAAAACUUUGAUAAUAUGUCUGCAGGUGCAGCUGAUACCUUAUAAUCCAGAUGUUCUGGAUGAGUCUGUACUGUGGACAGAGAGCAAGGACAUAGGGGAUGGUUACAGAGCUGUAAGAAUGGUCAAUAACAUUCGCCUGAAUGUAGAUGCUUUUCAUGGUGAUAAGAAAUCUGGUGGUGUCCAUGAUGGCACCACCAUUGUGCUUUGGGAAUGGAACAAGGGAGAUAACCAGCGAUGGAGGAUUGUCCCCUACUGUAAGUCUUUCAUCAGUCGAAACACGAAGAAAUAUAGAAUUCCUACCAUAUCUUUCUUAUUUUCAGGUUGCAUCAUUUGAUACUUUUAAAACCAAUAAUGGAAUUUCAAUAUAAAUUAGUCUAGGUAUAUGUAGUUUGGGAAGAUGAAGCCUUACUUUCUCUGCUUCGAGUGUCCCAUCAACUCAUAGAACUGUUCUUAAUUCUUUUUUGGUCUUUUGAUGGUUAUAUGUGCAGGAUUGUGGCAUCGGUACUGUCAUCUAUUGUAGCUGUAUUGUAUUGAGCUUGCAGAAGUAUAUGUGAGGACUGAGGAGGAUUGUUUUCCAUUCUCCAUUGAGUGGUUUGUGUUUUGUGUUCAUGAUGAUUUUCAUUGAUACCUGUUGAGGCACACUGCUUAUUCUCGCUGUGGUUCGUGUAUUCUGUCUAUUGAGUGAGCGUCUUGAUGUGUCAUUAAAACUCAAUUAACUACUGUUACUUUCAUUAUUCAUUAUCUAUGGUGUGGAAUUAUAAUGAAUGCGUAUGAUAAGUGAUACCAAUCCACUAAUGGAUUAAGUCCAGGUGUCCCCAUGUCAUUUUCAUGGCCAUCCAUAGCAUGCACUGAAUUCGGGUCAUGAUGACAUGUGUUUUUCUUUUAAAAGCUGUAAUGUCAUUGAUUACGAUAAAUGAUGUGUAUACAGAAAUAUGGGACGUAGUAUUGUCGAAUGACUGUACUACAAGUCUACGAAGAUUUUUUAUCUACAAGUCUACAUAGUUUUUUUAUUCUUCCUUAGCUAGCAAAUGAUUUGGCAAGGUUGUGACUUGUGGGUUCAAGUUGAGAUUUAUAAAAAGAAAAGGUCAGAUGGAAGCUAAAUUUACUCUUGUUGAUUUACAUGAAGCCACUGCAAUCUCUUGGUUCCGGCUCACCUCUUUCUCUCCGGAGAAUAAUCUUGAACUAGUGAAGAUUUCAGAAAUCAAACAUUUCUCUAUAAUAAUCAUCUAGUAGUAGUACUCUUUAAAAAGAAUAAAAAAAAAAAAAACUACAGUGGAUUACAACUGAGGCUAGAGGACUUAAACAAAUACAGACAUGAUGAUGAUGAUGUCAAAAGAUCAAACCAAUCCCACGGCAGCAGCCACCCUCCCUACGACCAGUCACCAUCGUCGUACCAUGAAGACAGUGGGUCCACCCCUCUCAAUAUGGAGGAGGGGCACCAACCCACCCCCAUUCAGUGGGCCAUGGGACUACUCGUCACGGAUACAACUCUAGUAGAGGAUACAGUGUAACUCUACUAGAGCCAUGAUAGCCGCGGAUAUAGUGUAACACCAACGUCGCAUGGGACCCACGAUAGUGGCAAAUACAGUGUAGGACUCAUGAUGUCGCAUGGAACCCAUUGUCGUGGCGGGUACAAUGGAGGACCGACAUUGAAUGGGACACGCGGCGGCAGCGGAUACAACGCAGCACCGAUCGCAUGAGACCCCAUGGUAGCAAUUAUGGAAAUAAUCAACCUAAACACAAUAACACCUCAUCUAAUAAAACCAACUUGUAAGAUCUUUUGCAACAAAGAUCCCUGCUGAUUCAUCGGAUAUGACCCAGUUUGUUUAUUAAUUAAGAAUGACGAUUUUAUUUCACUGCAUCAGUUUUCAUAGCAAGGUCCUGAGUUAAAACGUUACUCUUCAACAGCAUUGGUACAAAGAUCAGAGGUGCAGCACAGAAGUAAAGGAUUCAGAAGGCUGCCCCCGCGUUGCUAUGGUUAACAAAGCUACUAAUUUGGCCAUGAAGCACGGCAAAGGCCCCACAGAACCCGUAAGAUCACUUCAUAGCAUCUCUAAGUGACUUCAACUAAAAAGUCGAAAUUGAAGUAAAUUAAUUCAUUUAAGGAGUUCCAAAUUCGUUUGUGCGUGCAGGUCAGGCUGGAGCCAUAUGAUCCAAGCGAUGAAAAGGAUGUGACAUUACUGUGGACACAGAGCCAGGACUUUGGGGAUGGUUACAGAACAAUAAAGAUGGGACUGAUGGCAGUGGCGGAUACAAUGCACCACCUACAUCGCAUGGAAUCCGCAGUGGAUAUCGCAUGUUAGCCGCGGUCGCGGUGGAUACAGUGCACCACUAGUGUCGCAUGGGACUCACGACAGUGGCAAAUACAGUGGAAAACCAACUUCGCAUGCGGCCUACGACGACUUCUGAUAUAGUGCAGCACCGACGCCUCAUGGGACCCACGAUAGUUGAAAAUACAGUGUAGGACCGAUGUCGCAUGGGACCCAUUGUUGUUGUGGAUACAAAGCAGGACCGACAUUCGAGGGGACACGCGGCGGCAGCGGAUACAAUGCAGCACCGAUGUCGCAUGGGACCCACGGUAGCAGUCGUGGAAAUAAUCAACCUGAGCACAAUGACACCUCAUCUAAUAAACCAACUUGUAAGAUCUUUUGCAAGAAAGAGCCCUGGUUUCUCUCUAGGUGGUAAAGACAAGGCUGUGAUUCUCGUACCUGCUGAUUCAUCAGAUAUGAGUGACCCAGUUUGUUUGCUCAUUAAGAAUUAAGGGCCGUUUUAUUUCACUCCAUCACAUUAAUCUUUAGAGCUCAGGUUACAUAAUUGAAUUAUAACGUUACUCGCCUGCGGCAGUGGUACAAAGAUGAGAGGUAGUACAGCACAAAAAUAAAGGAUUCAGAGUGCUGUCCCUGCUUUGCUCUGGUUAACAAAGCUCCUAAUAUGGCCAUGAAGCACGGCAAAGGCCCCACAGAACCUGUAAGAUCACUUCAUAACUCACAACAUCUCUAAUUGACUUAAUUAAAAAGUCGAAAUUAAAGUAAUUAGUUCAUUUAAGGAGUGCCAAAUUCGCGGGUGCAUGCAGGUGUGGCUGGAGCCGUAUGAUCCAAGUGAUGGAAACUGGAAAGGAUGUGACGUUACUUGUGGACACAAAGCGAGGACUUUGGGGAUUGUUACAGAACAAUAAAGAUGGUGAUUGGUGAAUAAUAUUAAGCUCAAUGCCGAUGCUUUUCAUGGGGACCAACGUAUUGAAGAUGGCACUAAGAUUGUUUUGUGGGAGUGGACCUACCGGCUUUGGAAAAUCAUCAGCCACCUUUAAAGGAUUUUUGGAAAUUUCGUACACAAAAACAAUUCCUUCUUUUUUUUCUUUUUUUUCUUUUGCGCUUGAAACCUUGUAACUUCACAAUUUUGCUUUAAACCUUGUAACUUCUAAAAGUAAUGAAACACUAACACAUCAAAAUAUUUGAAGGUCAGAGGAACUGAGAAACGGGAAGAUAAGCGAAGAAACCAUUUUUUGGAAUCUUGAUUUUUUUUUCAUAUGGUUGUAUAAAUAUAAUAUGCUCACAAUAUAAAAGGCUGAAUCCAAGGCCCAGAAGAGAAAUGAUAUACGGAGUUGUGGACUGGAUGGAACAGUUGAUUUAGAACAGAAAGAGCCUUGGCCCUUUUACAAAUCAGCACCAGCCGGCUACAUGCAAGGACCGGAGCUUUUAACACCCUCCUAAAAUUCUUAUUACACCCAUAAUAGUAAAAUCUCAUAAGUUUGCAAAAAUAAAUAUUUUUAACUAGAAUUUAAAAUGAAAUUUCAUUCAAGUGUUUAAUUGAAUUUCUAUUUAAAAUAAGAAAUGAAUUAAUUUGCCUUUAGUUGUUUAAGUAAUUUCAAUUGAAAAGGGGUUUUAUAAGAAAAUUUUGAAGGGCGUCACUGUUCAACUCAUAUUUAAGUUGAAUUAAAUCUACAUUCAAAUUCAUUUCAAUAAUAAUAAUUAAAAAAAAAUACACACCGAUUUUGACCAAAUGUAAGAUGAUACACAUAAUUUACAUAGAAUUAGAUCGUAAGAUUAAGGUUGUCAAAAGUAAGAACAGAGUCAGGAUUGAAAAAUUGGAGGGUUGAAAGUCAUAAAGGUAUACUUUUAAGCGUCAAAACUGAACAAGUGCGCAUAUAUUUGAGAGCAAAUAUUAUAUUAUUUAAAUUAUUGGGGUUGAAUUAAUACCGAUUUAAAGCAUUAGAGUUUUAGGUAAACAACUAAGAUUUAAAGGUGUAAUCAUAUUAAUUCGUGAUCAAGGUCAUUCAGAAAAGUGUUUUACUGCAUGUAAUUUUAUAUAUUACCGCAUCAUAACGUAUUACAUUUAAGAUGAUGUAUGUAAUGUGCAUGACUUAUUUUGUAGGUUCUAGAAAAACGAAAAUGAACUUAUAAAUUAAGAAAUAAUUCAGUAUAGGCUUUGGAAAUUUUCUUUGACAAGUUAUCAGAAUUUUCGUUUUUUUUUUUUUUGGUUUUUGGGUUGUAAUAAGGACAAAGACACACCUGUCACAUUAAUUGGCCAUUUGGGUUGCUUUCUCUUACUGUUAAGUCUGUUAAUUUAUGGUUAGAGCAGUUAGUUGUAAUAAUUUUAUUGGAUUAUAUAUGUAAUUAAAAAUAAAUUUCAAAGAAAAAAAGAGACAGAGAGAAAUUGGGGAAGGUUAGCCUGGAAAGAGAUCUUGAUUUAAAAACCCCACCAAACAUUAAAGAAAAAGUCAAUGUAAUUGACUUUAAAUGAAUCAAAUCCCAUACUCAUUAAAUUAGUAAUUAAAAAAUGAGAUUAGAAAAGGUUAUCUUAAUCAAGGUGACAUGUGAGUCUGUGACCGCAGCCUCUUACACCUUCUAUUCUGUGUCUCAAUGCCAGCCAACUGUCGCAACCCAUGAAACAAUGCCUUGGUAGUCCAUAAAUUAAAAUCUCUAUGAGUUAGAUUAUUAUACAACAUCAUACAAUACACUACUAUAAUUUUCUUUUCUUUUUCUUAUAUAUAUUCUAAUUAUUUAGAAAUUAUAAUACUACAAUGUAAUAUCUAACUUCAAGAUUUGAAUUUGAGUGACCAAUUAAAUAAAACUACUCAAAAUGUACUCUGUCAAACGCUCUAGGGACAAGUAACUAUGAUAACACGACCACUAAUUUUUUAUUAUUUAUGUAACAUUUUGUUAUAAUCUAUGAUACAAUUCAAUUUCGUAGAACUUUCUAUUGUACAAUUCUCAAUUUUUUCGGUUAAAAUAUAAACCUUUUCGCAGUUUAUGGAGGCGCACGGAUGUAACGAUGCAGCUGCAACUGCACCAUAGCACAGCCCGGGUUGUAUUUGGAAGAAAGUAUGAAUUUGCAUUUUUUAAUUUAAGGAAGGAGAGAUUAAGAUUUAAGUUUUGCCAAUGAAGGAAAAAAAGAAAGGGGUUUUAAAUAGGUUCAAAAGAUAGCCAAUGAUGGCGAUACUCUGAAAUUUGGGAUUAUAAUAUUUUCCAAAUUGCCAUGAAUUAUGGGUAAAGUUUUGAUAUGACAUCAUGGUGUGUUGAUCUUAUCUUAUGGCUCAAAUUGAGAGGGAGAUUCGAUCACUUUGUAGUUCCAGCCCCACUAAAUUAAAAACUAAGAAAAGAACCAUCAUUUUUUUGUCUGAUUACCACUUUUAAAAUUUAUUUCAAAUUAAUCGGUACCCUUUCGAAAGGCCAUUUAUUGAAAAACUAUUAUAUUAUUUCAUUCUCAAAUUUGCACUUUAAUUUGACUAAUCAAUUAAUUGGCUAGAUUAUUAACGUGGGAUCCUACAAGUUACAACUUCAUAGCCUCUUAACAAGUUGUAACGUAAAUAAAGGUUUGAGAUAUAUCGACUAAUUGCAAAAUAAUGCAAUGAUUGUUAUCUCAUAAAAUUAAAAUAUGCCGUCAAUAGCCCCCUCCUACACUCUUGCAUGUAUUGAUUUGUAUUCAAUAAGAAUCUCAUGGGCUAAUAUUCAAGUAUAGUCUCAAAUAAUUGCUUAUGUAAUUGAUGUGAAUGUAGUGUCAAUUUAACAAGAAAAGGAAAUGAGAAAUAAAAAAUAAUCACGAUACUAUCCCUUUAUGAAGAUUAGUAUGAGGAAACUAAAUUAAAUCAUUCUAAUCAAUAAUUUAACUUAAAUUGAUUGAUUUUGUUUGAUUUCAAUUAUUACGACAAUUGGGACGAGUUUCGUUUAAACUUAAAUACUAGCCUAGUUGAUCUAGUUGAAUAAAUUGAGAUAUUGUUAUUCAUGAAGUCAAUCUACAUAAAAUCGGCUUAAAAUUUUAGUUGAUAUCUAAUUAUCUAUUUUUUUAAAUAAAAAAAAAGUAAAAAUAAUUCGAAUUCAUUUAAUUUUGCAAAAGGUCCAAAAUCAUUCAUUAUUAAGGUGGAUUUUGCUUGUAAGUCCCUGGGAAAUAUUCUAAAAAAUAUACCGGAAAUUAAGGAGGUGAUCGCCUGCAUCGCGCACACAAAUUAAGCAAGUAGGUAGACCAAUAAAAGUAGAGCAUCAGCAGAAGCCGUGAUGAGGUGUCCCCUAUCGUCACCAGCCGUCAGCCAGCAAUAUGCUUCGCUCUGCUUUGCUUGGCAGUUUCGUUUCAAAAAUAUUGGCCAGAAAGUCAACAGUUAUUAAGUUAAGAAUUAGGAAGAUGAAGAAGAAGAAGAAGAAGCGGACGGGGAAGAAGAAGUGUUGCCCCAGCUGAAGCAUUCCAAUUUCGAUUCCCCCACCCGGGCACCCAAGUGGGGUCCACGCGUUAUUCCGCAUUAAUAAAAUUAUUACUUAUUAUUAUAAUAAUAAUUUUUUUUUUUUGGCCUUUUUAGGCAGAUGUAUUUUUUAAACCCCGUAUAUUACGUUCAAUUUCUACACUCUUCAAUAAAAUAAGAGGAGUGAAAAUGGUGAGGCGGAAGGAUCAGCCGCGGUGAUGUUGACACGUAGAAUGAGCUGAGCCGAAAAGCAAGAUCUGAGUCAGCACAGCGGCGCCUGACAUGGCAACACGUGGGGCGGGGACCACCUCACAACAUCUGACUUGAUUUUUGAUUAGUUUAGGUGACGAUCUGUUGUUGAUUCGGGGGGGAAGGCGUGUUUACAAAUUUAUUUUUAGGCGCAGCUCUGUGGGCAAAAGCCCAUUAGACCAGAGAGGCAGGGAGUUAGUAAACACUGAACGAAGAUUUUCUUCGAGUCGGCGCCGGAAUGUUUUAACUUUAUGCAACUGCCUCCGCGUUAGUUUGGUUUUGUCCGUCAUUCACUUGGAAACAUGCAACAUUUUUUUUUUUUUUUUGACCGGUUUGGCCACCAUACAUGCUUCCUCUAGUUAGCUGUUCUAUAUAUACUGCUUUCUGCAUAUGAAAACGAAUCUGAGUCUCCACUAAUUGUGUUGUAUAUAACAGUCACAUGAGUUAAAUAAAAUCAUCCAAGUGGAUACAUAAGCUGGACACCAUUUCAUUGACUAAGUUUUAAUCCCCUACCUCCCUUAAAUUUUGACUCAGUUGGUCAGAUCUAACCCCAUAUUGUUAUUCAUAAGGAUUUUAGCUAGUGGUGUAAUAUACAAAGCACUAAAAAGUAGUCAAAUUUCCAUGAUAAAUAUAUUUAUUUCAAUUUAUGAUACCCAUUCAAAUAUUUAGACAGAAAAAUAAGUUAGAUCUAUUUUUGAAUAUUUAGCAAGAAGAAAUUGACUUGCAUAAUGCAUAAGUGAAUAAUAAUACACUAGUGAAAAGGAAUAUGAUUUACGACUAAAAAAAUCGAGUAUAAACACGGCGAUAUAAAUGUUAUGAAAUCUAUCAUUUGAUCAGGAGACCUAACACGUCUGAUUGCUAAUUUAAUGCAACUGAAUUUUCAUAUUUGCAUCAUAAUCAAUCGCUCUUGGAGGUGCAUCUAGGAAUUAGAAUUUGCAGAGUGAUUUGGUUUGAACUUUGAAGACAACAAACUUCAGAGGGGUUUUAACAUAUUAAAUAAAAGAAACUAAAAAAAAAAAAAAAAGACACUUGAAAAUUUCUAACAAAGGGAAGAUACCAUAAUUAAAAAAAAAAAAAAAAUCAAGAGAGAGAGAGAGAGAGAAAAUUUAUACUAUUUAUUGCACACUUUAAUUAUUUUAUAUUGGACAAUAAAAUGGUUGCUUGAAAAAAUCAAAUUCAAAGCACCUGCCAAUUGCACAUGCAAAAUAUUUCCAACCCAUCAUAAAAAACACUAAUUGCUCUCCGUCACAUGUAUUUAUUUGGCAAAUAAAAGUAGUUAAAAAGGAGACCGUCUUACAAAUCGAUGUAAACAAUGCGCCAAAUUUUACCUCAAAUAUUCACUUUUUUUGUUUUCUACUUUUUCAAUGAUAUGGGACGAACGAACAGAAUAUCGGAUCUUUUUUUUUUCUUUUUUCUUUUUUUCAAAAGUGAAGACCUGAAUGUGCAAUAAAACGAGUGAGCUAGCUGGCAAAUUUUUUUUUUUGCCUAAAACUUAAUUUGGAAAAAUUCACUUGGUUUUUUUUUUAUUUCUCUCCACCCUUUUUUUCAUUGCCUUUUGACUUUUUGGGGGCUUCUAACAGUUUCCUAUAAAAUUCCGUUCAUUUGUAGCGUCUACUUUGCAUUUGCCUAGAAUUAUCCCCAUUAUCUAAUUCAAAUUCCAAUUGCAUACCGAGUCAUGUGCCUAUAGUAUAAUGGUGCGUGCAUACAUAUUUUAUUUUAUUUUUAUUAAUAGUAAUUGUAACCACUGAGUAUGCAUAAUUAUAAAUGAAGUAGCUAGCUGCCCUGGCCGAACUAAUAGAAUUCCAAAUUGACCAAAUUCAUCUUUGGAUUACUGAAAUCCAUGUAGCACAGUGUCAACUUAAAAAAAAAAAAGAAAAAAGAAAAAAGAAAAAAACAAAACAAACAAGAGGCUUUGAAUGAGAAGUUUUUAUAAAACUAAUAAAAUAAAAAUAUACGACAAAAAUAGUAAAUUCGAGGCACAUGAUGAAUAACCAUUCAACAAUGAUUGUGCGAAAAAUGAACUAUUAUUAAUCAAAUCUUAACGAGUUAGUAAAGUUAAACGCCUCUUGAUUAAAAUAAAAAGAAAUGGUUAAAAUGAAGAUUAAUUACAGGAAGAUGGAAUCAUAGAACAUGCAAUGAAAUUGAUUUUUUUUAAAAAAAAAGGUUAGGUUUAUAAGCCGAUAAAUUAAAAGUCAUUACUUUAAUGUGAAAAGAGUAUGAAAACAUGGGUCCACAAAGCCAGCAUAGAAACUUUUCUUUUUACCAUAAUUUAAUUUUAUAUUUUUUUGGCCCUUUCUUUAUCUCACACGUUCAUUUUCAAACAGGUAGAUAGGAUAUAGCUAAGGAGCCCCACACCAAUUAUAAAAACCAUACAAUAAAAUAAAAAUUUAAUUAAUAAUUGAAGGAAAGUCUCUGUCCUAUGGCGCUAUAAUUUCUUUCUCUCUCUCUCUUCCCUCUGAAGGCUUCCCUCAGAAGUGCCUUGCAGCCUACGGAUCUUCAAUAAGCAAAAAUUAAAACGAGCUUAGUUCUUCUACAAUAAGCUCCUCUAUUUAAGCCCUCUUUUUCCCCCUUGCUAUACUUUCUUUUAACUGCUUUCUCUUAUCUCCUUCUUCUUGUUCUUUUAAUAUUUUGAGCUCUUGUGUGAAUACAUAUUACAAGGGCUUUGCUAGUUUGCUACUGCUAACCAGCUUUCCUAGUCUUAGCUUAUUAAUUGUUUCUCCUUCAUCUGUCCUGUGCGGGGGUUUAUAAUUAUUUUAGUUUCAAGAAAUGGAGGAAGCCGUAGUUGAUCAACACAAUCAUCGUCAAGGAGUGAUAGAUUUGCCACCCGGGUUUCGCUUCCACCCAACGGACGAAGAGAUCAUAACUCAUUAUCUCACGGAAAAGGUCAUGAACACAAGCUUCUCUGCAUGCGCUAUCGGUGAAGUUGAUUUGAACAAGUCUGAGCCAUGGGAUUUGCCCAGUAAGCUAGCUAUGGCUACCCCUUUUUCUUUCUUGCUUUCUUUUCUAUAAAAUCUAUUUUCUUGUUUUCUUAUGAGGUAAAUUCUAUUGCUGAAUAUAUAUAUAUAUAUAUAUAUAUGUAUGUGUGUGUGUGUGUGUAUAUGUAGGUAAAGCGAAGAUGGGGGAGAAGGAAUUUUAUUUCUUUUGUCAGAGAGACCGGAAGUAUCCAACGGGUAUGAGAACAAACCGAGCAACGGAGGCCGGAUACUGGAAGGCGACCGGCAAAGAUAAAGAGAUUUACAAAGGAAAUAAAGGCGGCGUCGGUGGUGGCGGCCUUGUUGGUAUGAAGAAGACUCUUGUUUUUUACAAAGGAAGAGCUCCUAAAGGUGAAAAAACCAAUUGGGUCAUGCACGAAUAUAGACUUGAAGGCAAAUUCUCUUACUACAAUCUCCCCAAGGCUGCUAAGGUAAUUACUUAUUUCUUUGAUUACUAUUAUUACUAUUAAACUUUUCAACAUCUUUUUACUUCUUCUUCUUUUUUUCUUGAUUUUCUUUUUUCUACCUUUUCCGUCGGUUGAGAUUGAUCUUUCAUGGGGCCUCUUUUUGUGUUAAGGAAUAUAUGUGUAUUUCUUUUUCUUUCUAAUUUUUUUUUUCCGGUUUGUUUUACAGGAUGAAUGGGUGGUUUGUAGGGUUUUUCACAAGAACAUUGGAGGAGGAAUUAAAAAGAUUCCAAUUCCAGGGCUGCCAAUGAACUCAUCUUUUGGUGAUGACUUUUUUGCUAAUUAUGCUUCGCUUCCACCACUAAUGGAUCCUCCUGGUUCUUCGAGCUUUGGAAAUGGUGACCAUCAAAAUGAGUUCAAACCCAUGAACACAGCAUCCACUUCAUCAAGAUCUUACAAUAUCCCCGCAGACAAUCAAAAUUUCCUUCAGCCUCAUCAAAUUCCAAUCCAAAAUCAAAUCUUCUCCUAUCACCAAAACAAUAAUAACCCGAAUCCAGGCUACUUGCACCAGGGAACAAUACGGAGUAGCACGGGUGCAAUCUCGAGCUUGAUGGGUGCCGGCUUUGAGGGAAAUGGUGAUGGUCAGGCCAUUUUAAGAGCGUUAGCAAGCACAUCUCACCAUCAUCAGCAGCAUAAUUUGGAGAGCAGCAGCCAGUGCAAAGUUGAGCAGUUUUCAUCUAACCAAUCCAUGAUCAGCCGCUCACAAGACACCGGCCUCAGCACUGACAUGAACACUACUACCGAAAUUUCAUCUGUUGUUUCGAAGCAAGAUAACAAGUCUUAUGAUCAGGAUCUCGAUGCUACAUCUAUUGCUGAAUUGGAUAGCUUUUGGGACUACUGAUGAUACUUGAAAAUUAAUUUAAGUUUGCAGCAGCUCUCCUGUUUUUUCGUAAAUUUUUAGGAUGUAUGGUUUCAAUUAAGUUAGCUAGCUAGCUAAUUGAUGAUCACAAUUUAUGUGCUAUAGUUUGGAUUCUGAACUUAAUACCUGUAAAGAGAUUAUUCAUGCAUGGUGUCAAGAAAUUUGCAGAUUGCAAUUUGAUUGAUUAAUUACUUAGUAGAUACAUAUAUGUAUACACCACUCACUGUACAUCUGUUAGUUCUUCUUCUUCUUCUUCUUUUUAAUAAUAUAUUACUGCUAAUUUCUUCUUUUUCUUUUGUUUAAUUUCUUUAUUGCUAUUUUUUCAUGCAAUUUGCUUUAUUACCAUUUCGUCAGUAAGUUAGCUAUACUAUCAACUUCAUGAUUUUGAAACAUAUAAUUAUUUAUCAAAAGUGUGAAAAGAUAUAUGGGAUAAGGGGAAAAAAAAAAGAAAAUCAUAUUGUAUACAUAAACCGUUUCUUGUACUCCUCUCUUGUUCAAGAGGAAUUAAUUAUCGAAAAUAAAAUUGGUAUUAAAGAAAAGUGGAUUGUACACUCGAAUGAGUUAACCUCCUUAGUUGAGAUUAAUUAACUAUUGGAUCAUGAAUCAUGUGCGUCAUUCCCUGAAUCCAUGGAGAAGAUGCGUUGCGUUCUCUCUUUGAGAAUUAAUUCAAAGUAUUUUAGACAAAGUGACAAUAACAGGGACAUAGCUAGCUAGCUAGCCAGGUUUCUUGAACAAGGCUUAAUUUUCUGUCCGGAAGAAACUUAAUUAGUUAUAUUCACAUGUGCCUAAGCUUUAGCCAUAUUCAAGUACAUGUUUCUAGAUAUAUGUUUAAUUCGUACAGAAGAAGCUGCUGCCACAAUUAAUGAACUCGGAUCUAGCUAUAUGCCAAAGAAGUCACAAAAUAGGAAUUCAUAUAUAUGUUAAGCCAUGGUUGAAGCUGGCUUGUAUCAGCAAGGAGUCUCUUUCGUUGCAGAAGCCGAGAAUGAUUUUCAGAACCCAGAUAGAAUGAUUUGGAUAUCAAUUGUAAAUCAAACAAAAGGGUAAAGGGUUUGAACAACAAACAACUGUGGGCAAAGUUCUUAUCAUGAUAACAAACAUCAUUGUUUAGAGAUGAGAUUGGUGAUAAUAGAAAGUUGGCGGGUCCAUAUCAGUCUAUCCAUGGUGGCUGUUGAUGAAUUUGAAUAAUGAGGUUAAUUUUAAGGCAACAGGAAAAAGAAAAAAGAAAAAACCAAUAAAGCUGAUAACAGAAAACAGCAAAAUAGGUGCAAGUUGAAGGGAAAAGCAGACGCCGCUGAGUUAAUGGAAUCGGUUAUUGUAAUUGUAAGAGAAGAAAUGGAUGGAAAUUGAAUUAUUCUUUUGAUUGAUUGAUAGAUCAUGUGAAUAUGUGGUGUGUGUGUUUGGCAGUAAAUUUAUGAACUUUCUAUUCAAAGCAAAGCUUCCUCUUUUUUUUUUCAGACUUGCAGGAAAGCCAACCGCCUUUUGUGGGCAUACCCUUUUGGCUCCAUGUUUUGUUGCAGCAAGGAAUAUGUUGCAACAAGAUACUGAUGAUAAUUAAUUAAUUAAUUAAUUAAUUAAUUAAACCAGACUUAAAUAUAUAAUUUUUAAAAUGACAACCAGCUGAGAAAACAAAGCACGAGCAUAUAUAUUCUUCCUAAUCUAAUUUCCCUGAUUUGUUGCAUGAAAACAUGGCGGCAGCAGCCAAUAGACAGCCUCCACCGCUUUGAUUAUUAUCGUUUUUUGGUUUUGCGUUUUCUGCCGCGUACGAAAACAAUGCUUCAUUCGCUGCUGCUGCUGUGCUGCCGCUGUGUUUUCAUCACCUCACUGUCAUUACAAAUUUAGACAAAAUUUUACAAAUCCGCGUUUAAUUAAUUACACGCAUAUUACUUCCUCACCGCGUUCGCCGACUACUUGUCCCAUCCACAAUUCCACUCAAUCAUUAUUAUAUUCCUCUGCAUGUGUCAGUCGGGUUUUUACUUUUCGUUUCCAUUAACUUUUAUUCAUUAAUUCCCUUUGCUUCUGGUAAUGUUUGUAAAUUACUGCCUGCCUAGUUUUUUUUUUCUUUUUUUCUUUCUUUCUUUUUUAAUGCAAAUAUUUUAUUAAUUCUUCAGGAUAAAGUUAUGAUACAACAAUGAUGUUUAUUAUUCUAUUUGAUUCCUUACAAAAAAAGUUACAAAAAAAUGUUCCUUGUCCUCUCGUCAACCUAGCUAUUUAACAUUCAUGAUUAUGUAUUAGGGUACACCAGUUGGAAUUAAAACUUAAUAUUGAGUUAAGCGUUUGUCGAGUACUGAAUUAAUGGUUGGAAUUAUUCUAAAUUUUUAUUUUUUUUAUUUAUCUUUUCUAGCAAUCAUUUCUUCAGUACUCAAUAAAAACUCCACUCAAUACUGAAUCCUUAUUCAUAGUAGUUGACCGAGGGUUAAUUAGACAAGAAAUAGAUUAGCUCAUUUUUAUUUUUUAUUACUAUUUUUAGCUUUAUGAAUUUCCCAACAUAUUUUUUUUUUACUUUAUAUUUAAAAGAUAAGCUUUAGAAAAUUGAAUACUUAUCAUAAAAAGUAGUUGUGACUACAAUAUACCCUAGUUACCGCACUGAAGGAGUACCUUUAAAUGAUCAGUUUUUAUUGAUUUCUAUUAAUUUUCUGAUCAUUUGACAAUGCAUAGACAAUAGAGAAGCGGGUUAUUUGGUUGAACGUUGAUAAAAUAAAAAAAACUACCUCCCAUUCAUUCCAAUAAAUACAAAAUUAAUUGAUUCCUAUAAUUUUUUCCCAAAAAAAUUCAUAUGUAUUUAACUUUGAACACUAGGUAUAUCAAAUUAAAGGUUUUAUUUGGAGCUGGAAAACAAAUUUAUCGGCUAUCGAUUGUCUUCGUUAGAUCCAAUUAUCGAAGGUUAGUUAUAUAUAUAAAUAUAUAUACAUCUCUUUUAUUAUAUAUUUCUUUAGUAGGAUUAUUAGUCUUCAAAAAAUUAAUCUUUAAAACUUACUCUUCUGAGUCAUUUAAUCUAGCUAGACACGCAACUUUGAAGAAAAAAACUGCUAAAAAUAUUUAAAAAAGGAAAAUUGAUCAACUCUUCAAAUAAAGAGUUAAAUAAUCAAUGUAUUAAAAACCACGAUUAUUUAUUUAUUUAUCUUUUUAGUCAUUUUUUGUUUUUAAAAAAUCAUAUUCUUAAUUUUUACAAUUGUUCUUUUAAUCUAGACAAGCUCUCGAGAAAAAUUUGUACUGGUUUCAUUGUUCCAAUACUCACAUUUGUUUUUUUAAGAAAAAUUGUAAUAUAAAAGAGAACGUGAAAAUCAAUUUAAAAAACUAUACAUUUUUAAUUAUUAUAAUUUGAUAUCACUAGAAAAGUUGUAUGAUAUGUGCAUGAAUCAUGACCCACAAACAUGUUAUUAUUCAUUGUAUAAUAAACACAUAUUAAUCAUUCUCAUACCAAAUUAAGUUGCUAUCAAGAAUGAGUCCUUCACUGCAAAUUAAUCAUGAGAAAUUUUACAAAACAAUGACCUCUAAUCUAAAUUAAAUCUUUAACCCAGCUAACCAUAUUAUUAUUAUUUAACGCUAAAAUAAAAAUAAAAAUAAAAAUUUUAUUUUAUUUUUUACUUUUUAAGUUAUUUUGGUAGCUUUAAUUUUUUUUAGAUAAUUAUUAGCAAGACACCAAGGCAUUAAAUAGCUUUAAAUUAGCUAGUACUAAUUUAUUUAUAAAUAAUUAUUAGAAAGAAUGUUGUAACGGCAUGAAAAAAUAAUCAUGGUUUUUAGAUUGAUAAUUAUUGAUCAAUUUGCUUAUUAAUUUUAUUGUAAUGAUAAAAGAAAAAUAAGGGCGAAAUUGUCAUAUAUUUAAUAGUGUGAGUGUUUUGAGGUAUUUUUUUUUUUAAAUAUAGAGACUAAACAGAUACUUAACUCAAAAUAUAGGGUUAGAAUAUUAGAUUAUAUUUGCAUAUAAUAUAACAACAGACCCAUGAGUUGUCACCCAUAACAAUUCAAUUAUUUCACAAACUGUAAUUUGUAGUCUUUUUGUGACAAUUCAAGGGUUGUUGUAUACCAUGACCUAUAAUAAUAAUAAUACCAACAAAAAAAGAAGAAGAAGAAAAUCAUACCGUAAUUAUUGAUAUUUCCCACUUAAUAAUAAUAUUCCUUCUUCUAGAUGUUGUAUGAUAUGUCUCGAGCUACGCCAUACAAUAGUUUAUGCAUACUUUGAAGACUAGACUAGAAAUUUUCUAAGUAAAUGGGAAACUUCUUAGAAGUUUACAAGAUUGGUCAUUUUUCUCUUUUAACCUUUUUCAUAAUUGUGAUCAGCGGCUACAAUGAUUUGAAUUAUUUUUUAGAUAUGCAUACAUAUUUCUGCACAGUGUGCAUUAAAUAAAAGGGCAAUGCUUUAUGACUUUUCGACAAGAAUAUUAACUGUUUCCUUUCUUUUUUUUUCAAAAGUUCAUUUGGAUAGAAUCUAAUUAAAAGUUAGGAUUUGCAUGUGUCCUCUUGCUGAAAUGUACAUGCAUGACCGUUUUUAUUUAUUUAUUUAUUUAUUAAUAAAUUUCACAUUUAAUUCUUUUUUAAAGUAACAACCUUUUUAUUUUAGCUUUUCAUUUAAUCGAUCGAUCAGGUACGAUUACGUUAACAUCAAUUAAUUAAGAUAUACUUAUUGAGUAUUUAAUAGUUGAGGAGACUUAAUAUGUUUAUUAGAUGAUAAUUUUAUGCAAAUUCAACAGAAGCUCUUAAAUUACUUAUUUGAUGUUUCGUUCGUUCAAUAAAUGAAUAUCACGCUACUUAAAAAUGGAAUCACUUAUAUUACAAGAGAACGAUUAAAACCAUCAUGUUACGUUACUUCAACAAAUAUAUCAUUUCUAUCGCUCUAUGUUUUCAAAAUCGCUUUUCUAAAAACUAAUAUUAAAAUUUCUGUUUGUCUUUUACUAUUCACCACUAUAAAUUUUUUCUUAGUGAAUAGUAGAUUUUACCACAUCAAGAUAAACUAGUAAAUGAUUAUACAAUAAAAAAAGGGGGUUAAAAAUAACAUUUUCUAACGGUAAAGGAGUAUAAAUUUCGAAAAAUAACAAUUACAUGGAGCGUUGAUAAAUUUUUCCCUUAGAAUAUUUACUUCAAAAGUGUAGCACUAUUUUAAGAUUAAAUAUUUAAAUAUUAUAGUAAACCACUCACUAGAUGAGUGGUGGGCACUACCUUCAAUAUUGUAUACAUAGCAUUUUAAGAUAAUUCAAAUUUUAGGACUCGACUCUUCACGAUUUCAUUAAUGCCUUCUUUAUGAUUUGAACUGGUCUUUUAACUACUUUUAACCACUUAUUUUGAAACUUCCAACACUUUUAUUUUGGCCCAUUUUCUAAAUUGAAGUUGAUGUCAUUCACAAACGAUCGUGUACAUUUACUUAUCUCGAUUCUCUCUAGAUAUUUAUCAAGAAUAUUAGUGUUUCUUUUUUUUUCUUUUUAAACAGAUCAAGAUUAUUAGAUUAAAAUGAGAAGAAUUUUGUAAUUAGUUUAAUUAUGAAUUUGGACUCAGUGCUAAACUGAUUUUUUUACUAAUUUUUUUUAAAAAUACAAUUGAUAGUUACUGAAUAAAAGUAUAAAAAAAUCAAUUAAAUUUUAACCUAUAUUACAACACAUAUACGUAUAUGGUAGAAUAGUAUGCCUUAUUUAUUUAUUUUGUUAUUGUUUGCACAUUGCGCUUUCCUUUUUCCAACAAAUUGAGCCCGUGUCACAUGUUCCCUUUUUGCUAGAUUCAAGUUAAAAGUUAAAACCUUGUGGAAAAAAAAAAGGGGCUAAAAAUUAAAGCGACACAAUAGCUUUAAAUUGAAAAGAAAAUAAAAGAGACCAUUAUAUAACAAGUGGAUUGUUUUUUUAUUUUUUUUAUUUUCAAGAGUAUAACAUUGUUUUGACACAUAUAUAUCUCAUUCUUUAAAAGAUAUUCACUGACAUGACAAAUGCGUUCGAUAUUGUUUUCAAAUCCCAUCUUCUAUUUUUUGAAUUCAGGAAACAUCAAAUAUGUGUUCAAUAGAUUGUUUUUUAAAAUAUAAAAUUCAUUCUAUACUUUUAACAAAUAAAACAAGAAAACAACUUUUUCUUGUUUUCUUUGUUUCUUAAUACAAUAUUAUGUUUCAAAAUGAACAAGUUUCUUCUAUCAUCUCUGAAAAUGAUAAUAAUAUUAACAAUAACAACAACAACAACAACAUUAUUAUUAUUAUUAUUAUUAUUUUUUUUAUAAUACCCAAAAAAUCAAUUUCUCUCACAAUAAUCUUUUCUUGUUAUAAACAUACAUUAUCAUAGUUAUGUUUUUAUAUAUUAAUUAAAUCAAAUAUGUAGAGUAUAUCAUUUUUCUUUUAAAAAAUUAACAAGAUCACCUAAUUUAUUCUUAUAAUUAAAUUAAUAAAGUAAUUAAAUAAUAAAAUGAUUAUAUAUUACUUAAUAUUAAAUUUAUGAAAAUUAUUUCAAUAAUAAUUCUUUAAAAUAUUUUUACUAACUUUGUUUUACUUUUAUUCAUUGUCAACAGCAGUAUUCUUAUAAUUAAAUUAAUAAAGUAAUUAAAUAAUAAAAUGAUUAUAUAUUACUUAAUAUUAAAUUUAUGAAAAUUAUUUCAAUAAUAAUUCUUUAAAAUAUUUUUACUAACUUUGUUUUACUUUUAUUCAUUGUCAAGAUUAUUUUUGAAAAUGAUACUGAAUAUAUUGUUAAAUUUUAAAAAUUGUUUUAAAAAUUAUAUUUUCAUUCUCAUUUUUAUUUCAUGAAAAAAAUAAUUACAAAAUAAUACCGAACAGACCUGUCACUUCCAUGUUUUUGUACCAAUUAUAUUCUCAAGCCAUAUUAAAAAUUUUUUUAUUAAAAAUUAUUUCUAAAAAGAGACUCAUUAUUAACAACAGCAAUAACAACAACAACUCUUUAGUCGAAUUAGUCCAAUGCAUUGACACUGUAUUUUUGAAGUAAAAUAUUCAAGUAUUUUUACAAUUAUAAAAUAUUUUAACUUUAGUAUGUUUUAGAUUUUAGUCAAAAGGAAUUGCCGUAAAUAGUUUACGACGGUUUUGGUAAUUGUUUUUUCCAAGGGCCUGGCCGUACUGAAUCGCAGCCAGCAGCGGCAGUUUUGUUUGUUGGCACGAACAACGAAGCUUCUUCAAUUUUCCUUCCUCGCCCCACAUUUACGAUGCAAGCAAACGACCUGUCGUUGUCGGAUUUGCGUCGUCCCCCGUCAUCUUAUUCCAUAUCCCUUUGAUGACCGCCACGUUGUCACUAACUCACACGCCAAGAUGGUGACGUGGCGGGUCCCGCUUUAUCUUUUCCCUGAAUUUGACGUGGCAUGGUCAUCAUGGCUGUUUCAUUUUCAUUUUUUUUUUCAUUUUUGAUCUCAUAACCUAUUUUGACAUUUUGUGAACACAAAAUCAUCUCCUCUCCUGUUAUGUGUCCCACCAAAAUUAUUUUUUCAACAAUUGAAUUGAUUUAUUUAAGCUAUUAUAAGAACUAUUAUGAAAUUAUUCUUUUUCAUAAUAUACACGUAAAUAAUUUAUGUUAUGCAAUAAAUUAAACGCAAACAAAGCUAGAAAAAUUAUUUUAAUCAAAAUUAAACCAAAAUAAUCUUUUAAAUAAAAAAAAAGAUUUUUUUAAGGACCCUUAUGAACAGUGCUUAUUUUGUUGGGAUUAUGAAGAUUUUUGUUAAGGAGCAAUACAAUAUUAUUUGUCAUAUUAAGGUUGUUUAAAAAUAACUCUAAAACUUAAUGGGCCUCAAAGAAAUUUUUUCAAGGCCUAGCCUGAGCCUGGCCCUCUCUUCAUAUUUUUUGCUAUAUCACACUGAUAGCGGUGAUAAAUAAAAUGCAUAAUGUUAUUGAGCGAUCGAGGCUCAUCUAAUCAUCUUACCCUAUUAGGAUUUUGAAAAAUUUAUAAAAAAAUUCUAAAAAAGUUAUUGACAAAUUGCAAGAUUGAAGGAAUCUGCAUGCAUUUAAACCAGCAAAUCUGAGGAAAUGGGGGCGGCUUAAAUUUGCCCUUCGAUUUGAUUACCCACAGAAUUUGGCUAAACAGAUGCAGGGGGGUUUAUGUGGACAACGUAUUGAUUGAUCAAAAUUCAAAAACGUGUAAAAGUGACAUGGGAUUUUGAAAAACAAGUUCUAGGAACUAGGAAGUCGUCAUCAUCUGAUUAAAGCCCCCAUUUUAUUUUAUUUUUUCAACAAGAUAACGAUUGAUGUAAUUAAUUAUUUAAUCAAUGCUUCUAAUUAAAAGGGGAGGGCUGUUGAUAGAAAGAUUCGUGACCUAAUUAUAUAUGCGGCAUUUCAUCAAAUUCGGCAAGCAAUUCGCCGAGUGUCACCAUCUGUAUUUGGUUUGAACAGUUUAGCCAAUUAUGGAACUACAUGACCUUUAUUUUGUUCUAGCAGCUUUGCCAGGACUGUGAUGUCUCAAGGAAAAAAAGAAAAGAAAAAUCUUUUCGCUUCAUGAUUAUUGUCUUUUAUAUGAUCGUUUAGUUCAGCCAAUAAAAGUAAAGAUAGAUCAUAGUCCCCAUGGUUCACAAACCACACAGCGAGAGAGAGACAGAGAGAAGUGGGGGUCACUCAUCGAAGAUUCAUGCAUGACAAUAUCCUAAAUUCAUAAUACAUGCGCCUCUUGAUUGAAAAAUUUGGGUCAAAUUGCCCAGCCGGAUCCUCCCAUAACGGCUUUCUUAUUGGAGGCCCAAAUACCCAUCUUUUUAUUUUGGUCUCAAAGCCCGUUCACAGAACCCAGCCCAUUAUAAGAUUAUUAAAGUAGCAGUAUUAUUCGAUCUAAUAGGGUGUGAUGGAGGAUGGAGCUGUGAGGAUAUGAUGGGUCAGUAAGUGGCCCGUCUUUCUCCUUCUUCUUCAAUCAUGCCGUACCACAUAAAGCCCAUAAGGAGUUUUUGUUACGGACAAGGCGAUGAACCAACGAGCAAGUUCUUUUCUCGUGUGGGAUCCUUUUUAUGCGGUUUUUUUUUUUUUUUUUUGAUUUACAAAAUCCAGAAAGGAAUUUUCUGUUUUCGAUUUGUGGUCUGUUAGUAGUAGAGAGUUGUUGAGUUGAACUGGUCACCUCUCUUUCUUAAGCUGAACGACGCAUUUUCGCAGUGUUCUUGUAGAAACUAGAAACUGCCGAGAUAUUGACAGCCGCGAAUGGCGACCGCUCCUUUUGAUUCUGGGCCUCAAAACAAGCAAGAAGCUGAAAAUUUAGUUACCCUUUUGAUCAAACACCUCCCUGAUGCUAUUCCUCAAGACACUCUUUCUCGAAUCUUCUCCCACUACGGUGCUUCUUCUGUCCGUCCUUGCUCCGCCGGAAGGUAUAUCACGUCACUAAAUUUCUCAUUUUAAUCAAAUUUGUUGAAGGGUCGUUUUGAUGAUGAACUAUAUGGUACAUUUUGCAUUCCAAAUUUUGAUUAUGUGCCUAUUCACUAGCUGGUGUUUGGGACAUAUGCUGUUUUAGAUUUCAUAUCCUGUUUCAGUUUUUAGGCACACAUUAGUAAAGUACAAUCAAAGGUUGAACCCCACUCACAAGGGUGGGUACGAGUUGUAUUACCAGUUACUUUAUGCUGAAACGUUAGCUGCCGUCUAAAAGUGAUUGAUAAUUUAAUUUUUGUAUGGUUUCAAAAUUUAAAUAGAAGUACAACUGUGACAAAUAUGUCCUAGGAUGAUUAUCUUUGAUUGCCUGAAUCUUAUAUGUGUGAAUUUCCACACCUUGAGUAAUCAAUUUUUGCCAAUUGAUGUGCCAUUGUUGGUUUUGUUGUUGCCAAGUGCAAUGUGAUAUUGAACUCUUUUUUGCAUUUUCUUGCCAUUGUCUUUAACUACUUGCAAACACAACUUUCCUUUGUAUUGUUUCAUGGAUAGCUGAGCCUUCUGUUUUAUUUUGCACUUGUAAUGCAUACUAUGAGUUCUUUCUUUUAUUUAUGCAGAUUAAGAAACUGUGUAUUUGUGGAUUUCGGAAAUGAACCAUUGGCUUCUCAAGCACAAAUGCAGUUAAAUGGGUAAAUUUCUAUCUUAUGCAUUGGUGGAAUAUUGGAACGAGAUAGGGUCAGGAAACUGUUAUGAGAUUUAUUUCUCUUUUCAUAUGUUUCUCUUGAAAGGGGUUUAUUUUCUUUACCCACUCUGUAUUUCUUCUUUUAUAAUUUUUAAUAUUUUUUUGAAGAUUCUUUUGAUUGUAACAAUUGUUAGGUAAUUUACUCAUUUUGUCCGAUUUAGCUGGACAAUUUUGCUAGUUUAGCUCUCUUGAAACCUAUGGAUAUUCCCUCCCUUUUCACCUACAACCUUGGCAUUGAUGUUAAUCCCAUGUCAAACAUAGGUAUUAAACUUUUUUCUUAUGGUUCUGGUUAGGCUGAGAUUUCUUGGUAAAGUCCUUUCAGUGGAAAGAGCUAGUAAGCCGAAUGAGGAAAAUAAACAUAAACAUUUUGAAGCUCAAUCCAUAUCUUCGAUGAAGGAGGCUGCUGUGACCAGAAAUCAGCGUGAAGGCUUGAACUCAGGAUCUGUACCUGCUGCUGAGCCAAUUGCUCCAAGACUUGGUGUAGACUAUCCAUUUCCUCCUCACCUUGAGUAUGCCUUUUCUUUCAUCUCCUUCAACUUUUCUCUUUCGAUGAAGCUUCUUGAUGUAUAUAUUACAAAGCUGUAUGGCAGCAGGCUCCUUUAUAUCCAUACUGUCAACCUCUUCCUUUAAUCCCAUUAAUUAAUGCCACCUGAAUUAAGUCUUCAAACUUAUGUGAUUGUGAGGGAAUGAAAUUUCUUCUUCUUCUUCUUCUUCUUCUUAAACACUCACGUGCGUGCAUCAUGCUACCCUUUACAAAGGAUUGUCCAAAAGAGUUGGUAUUUAACAUGCCAGUAUUCUGUAAUCUUACUUCAGUUAUAACCGGAAAGUGCUUUGGCCAUGUCUGCUUAGAUGAACUUGUUGAUUAAUUAAAGGAAAUCUCCAGUCUGAUUGAUUUGGAGACAAUCCAAAUAUGAUCCAAUUUAUUGGCCUGAAUUUUUAUUUCUGAUCUUCAAGAUUGCAAUUACAAAAUGGAUUCAGGGUUUAUUAGAUUGUAACUGCAUACUACAUCAUACGUUGAAUGAAAUAUACAGUACAUUGCCUGUGAUUCACUGUCAGAUAGUUCUUGUUUUGCUUGUCUCAUAUUUGAGAUUAUAACUUGGUUGUUUCAGUUAAAAUAUGAAUGAUUUUACAUGUGAACCUCUGGCAUUUAUGAUUUGAUGGAAUGUGUGAGAGAAGCCUGGCCUUUUAGAUUUCUUUCAUUAUAGAAUUUAAUAAUGGCUAUCUCAUUAUCCUUUGCCCUGUACAUUUUUAUCUUUGUCUGAUAUAGAUGAUAUCUCAUCUAGUUAAAUGAGCUGCCUGUGUCAGUCUCAUAUAUAUAUGCUUAUUCUCCAUCAGAUGGUAACCAUUAUUGUCUGUGUUCUGUUCUGCUUCUUCACUUUAUGCCUGGCUAUGGCACUAGUUUCAAGAACUCAUGUUCAUUGAGUUCCUUUUUUCACCCUUGAUUUUUUCCUUGUACAUAAUAGGGUGUUCAUACUAGAAUUUGGUUGUAUAGACCAAAAUGUGAAGUAUAUCUAUAAGUAGAACUUUAUUAAAUAUGACAUGAGGGAAUCGAUAGAGGUUCAGCCUUUCAGAUUCUUCUUUUGCGUAAAAUGCAAUAGCAGCUAUCUAAGAUCCUUGUGCAUAAAUGUGUGCUCGUUUACUAAAUGAAAGAAUUUUUUUUCUAUUUUCUUUAUUCUGUUGUUUAUUCGAAAUCAAUUCAUCACACAACAAAGAUAACAUUGUUUUAUUUUGUUCUGGUUAUCUGACCUGCCUGUGUUGCAGAUAUGCUUAUCCUCCGGUUGAUGGAAAUAUCCUAACCAAUAUUGUUAAUGCACUCAUUGCCGUUCCUCGCUUUUAUACCCAGGUUUCUCUUAAUCUUAAGAAAAAGGCUUCUAUUCUCUGGUUCUUGUUAUAAUUUGAUGGUGAAAAUCGUUCUCAUGCCCUUUCAUCAAAACUUUACUUACCCCUACUGUACUUACAAAACUCAUGCUAUGAAUUUAAGUUUUGAAAGUAGAGGCUAAGUGUAUUUUGAUAUAGUAAAGGGGAUUAUUGUAUUUGGUGAAUAUACUUUUAUUAUAUUCUGGUAAUAUUAUCUUACAACUUGACGCUUUGAUAUUAGGUGCUGCACUUGAUGAACAAAAUGAAUAUUCCAGCUCCAUUCCGUAUGGCUCUCCCCACCCCACCUCUACCACCUCCAGUACCUACAGCGUCAGCACCACAACCA
RNAcentral lists this long non-coding RNA (27943 nucleotides) under Citrus sinensis (sweet orange). RNAcentral describes it as "long non-coding RNA (CSIN_LNC002312)". The record is from RNAcentral. Lineage: Eukaryota; Viridiplantae; Streptophyta; Magnoliopsida; Sapindales; Rutaceae.